GACAUGUCCGGAAUCUCGAAGAGAUUUGGGAGUGCUGCAAGAGAACCGGAACACAGGUGCUGCAUGGCUGUCGUCAGCUCGUGUCGUGAGAUGUUGGGUUAAGUCCCGCAACGAGCGCAACCCUUGUCAUUAGUUGCCAUCAUUGGUUGGGCACUCUAAUGAGACUGCCGGUGACAAACCGGAGGAAGGUGGGGAUGACGUCAAGUCCUCAUGGCCCUUAUGGGUAGGGCUUCACACGUCAUACAAUGGUCGGUACAGAGGGUUGCCAACCCGCGAGGGGAGCUAAUCCCACAAAGCCGAUCGUAGUCCGGAUCGCAGUCUGCAACUCGACUGCGUGAAGUCGGAAUCGCUAGUAAUCGUGGAUCAGCAUGUCACGGUGAAUACGUUCCCGGGUCUU
This 397-nucleotide ribosomal RNA is filed under the name uncultured Rhodocyclaceae bacterium. RNAcentral's name for it is "bacterial SSU rRNA". It matches the Rfam family "Bacterial small subunit ribosomal RNA", at positions 983 to 1382 of the family's 1533-position model. The record is from RNAcentral. Lineage: Bacteria; Pseudomonadati; Pseudomonadota; Betaproteobacteria; Rhodocyclales; Rhodocyclaceae.